UACGGAGGGAGCUAGCGUUGUUCGGAAUUACUGGGCGUAAAGCGUGCGCAGGCGGCUUUGCAAGACAGAUGUGAAAUCCCCGGGCUCAACCUGGGAACUGCAUUUGUGACUGCAUGGCUGGAGUGCGGCAGAGGGGGAUGGAAUUCCGCGUGUAGCAGUGAAAUGCGUAGAUAUGCGGAGGAACACCGAUGGCGAAGGCAAUCCCCUGGGCCUGCACUGACGCUCAUGCACGAAAGCGUGGGGAGCAAACAGG
RNAcentral lists this ribosomal RNA (253 nucleotides) under uncultured bacterium. Its description in RNAcentral is "partial 16S ribosomal RNA". It matches the Rfam family "Bacterial small subunit ribosomal RNA", at positions 524 to 776 of the family's 1533-position model. The record is from RNAcentral.